Molecule: long non-coding RNA, 1041 nt
Organism: Ictalurus punctatus (channel catfish)
Lineage: Eukaryota; Metazoa; Chordata; Actinopteri; Siluriformes; Ictaluridae
Source: Ensembl
CCCCCCCCCCUCCUGACAGCAGCGGUUUGGUGGGAUAGCAGCGAUCCAUCUCUGUCAGAAAGCUAAAAUGAUAAUGCCAAUUAAACCAGAGGAGUAAUUUCUGGGCCCAGGUUCCCUCAAAAGGCCUCGAUGUGGAACAGGAAUGAAAAGACGAACCUCAGGAGGAGGAGGAGGAGGAGGAGGAGGAGGAGCCAAGAUUGGAGAAGAAAUGGGAGAAGUAGCCAUGUGAACGCCCGAGGAGAUGAUUUCUUGGAAGCUGGACUGCUGGGAGGUUCUUCAGAUCAAGAGACGUGAGGAACCAUGAGGAGCCACGAGGAACCGAGAUCAUUCUGAGCUGGCGCUGAGAAGACUCGAGCUGGCAGGACAUUUGCCCUAGAAAGCGCCCUAUGAACCCAUAACCUCCCCAACCAAAGGGCCUCUUUCCAGCCCGGGGCGAAGCUGGCGAAUCACACACCGAGCCGCUCAGCAAGCAUGAUCGAUGGUUCUAUUCAUCGAUGACGUUGCUAGUGAACCUGAACAUAUUGAACCGACACCUCAGAGAAGAGUGCCGCUGACCUUAAUCACCAGGUGAGAAAGCACCAGCAUCGAGAACUUGCUGACUUUACCGACGUAUAGUAUUGUGUCAUCUGCAUACCAGCCAUACCUUACCUAUUACACACAAUCAAAACACAACUAAACUCUUACAGGAGAGUAUUCACUGACAGGGUGGUGUGAUGAAACUGAAUUACUUUAACCCUCUGGAGUUGGUUAUUUUCCUAAUUAUGGUAUUCCUGUCUUUUUUUCAUUCCUUUAUAGCUACAAUUAAUGUUCUGGAACGUCCACGAAACGUUAUUUAUUAUCUCUCUCUUAAUAAGUUAAUAAUUUUUUUUUAAAUGUAAUCAUGAGGAUGUCGGAAAACUUAAAGCUACAGCGUUACCUCUGACUGUUACAAUGCGCUGACACUGGAGACUCCUUCCAUACACGUUACAUAAACACAUUUCUCCUUACAGAAUCUAGCAAGUUUUGUAAUCUGUUUAUUACUAGGCGUAUGUUAUGUAGCGC